UGUGACCAUUUCAAACUUCCUCCUUUCAAUUCUUUCUUUGUCUUGCUCUCUGGAACACAAAGGGGCCAGCUACUCUCAACUACAGGUGAAUUGGAAUAGAUCUAUCCGCCACAAUGCCUACCAAGCAAAGAAUGAGACUUGCCAAUCAAAAACACAGUCAAAAUGUCAACCACAGAGGAAAUGUAGCCAAGAGCCUGAAACCAACUGAAGAUAAGAGUCCAAUUGGCCCAUACCUUCUUGCCUUCAUCAUAUUCGUGGUCUGUGGUUCAGCCAUCUUCCAAAUUGUUCAGAGUAUUUGGGCAGCUUAAGAAACCUCUCCAUAUUACAACUGUAACAUCAUUAUCAGACUAUACUGUAUUAUUUCGAAAGCUCAUUAAUUACUAUUAUUACUAAUUAUUAUUAUUUUAUUAUUAUUAUUAUUGUUAUUAUUAUGUAUUGCCUCGUACAUUGUUUAUCCCUUAAUGCAUCAAAAAUAAUUAUCAUAAUUAUUAUUAUAAUAAUUAUAAUUUUAUUAAUAAAA
This is a long non-coding RNA of Amphimedon queenslandica, 520 nucleotides long. RefSeq lists it as uncharacterized. The record is from RefSeq and is a predicted model, not a curated record. Lineage: Eukaryota; Metazoa; Porifera; Demospongiae; Haplosclerida; Niphatidae. The transcript has 4 exons.